RNAcentral lists this unclassified non-coding RNA (338 nucleotides) under soil metagenome. Its description in RNAcentral is "partial contains 5.8S ribosomal RNA, internal transcribed spacer 2, and large subunit ribosomal RNA". The stretch from base 1 to 120 matches the Rfam family "5.8S ribosomal RNA", at positions 35 to 154 of the family's 154-position model. The record is from RNAcentral.
GAUGAAGAACGUAGCGAAAUGCGAUAAGUAAUGUGAAUUGCAGAAUUCAGUGAAUCAUCGAAUCUUUGAACGCACAUUGCGCCCCUUGGUAUUCUGGCGGGCAUGCCUGUUCGAGCGUCAUUUCAACCCUCAAGCUCUGCUUGGUGUUGGGGCCCUACGGUUGACGUAGGCCCUUAAAGGUAGUGGCGGACCCUCUCGGAGCCUCCUUUGCGUAGUAACUAACGUCUCGCAUUGGGAUUCGGAGGGACUCUUGCCGUAAAACCCCCAAAUUUUCUAAUGGUUGACCUCGGAUCAGGUAGGAAUACCCGCUGAACUUAAGCAUAUCAAUAAGCGGAGGA